GAUGAACGCUAGCUACAGGCUUAACACAUGCAAGUCGAGGGGAAACGACAUCGAAAGCUUGCUUUUGAUGGGCGUCGACCGGCGCACGGGUGAGUAACGCGUAUCCAACCUGCCCAUCACUUGGGGAUAACCUUGCGAAAGUAAGACUAAUACCCAAUGAUAUCUCUAGAAGACAUCUGAAAGAGAUUAAAGAUUUAUCGGUGAUGGAUGGGGAUGCGUCUGAUUAGCUUGUUGGCGGGGUAACGGCCCACCAAGGCAACGAUCAGUAGGGGUUCUGAGAGGAAGGUCCCCCACAUUGGAACUGAGACACGGUCCAAACUCCUACGGGAGGCAGCAGUGAGGAAUAUUGGUCAAUGGGCGAGAGCCUGAACCAGCCAAGUAGCGUGCAGGAAGACGGCCCUAUGGGUUGUAAACUGCGUUUAUAAGGGAAUAAAGUGAGAGUCGUGACUCUUUUUGUAUGUACCUUAUGAAUAAGGACCGGCUAAUUCCGUG
RNAcentral lists this ribosomal RNA (492 nucleotides) under uncultured bacterium. Its description in RNAcentral is "partial 16S ribosomal RNA". It matches the Rfam family "Bacterial small subunit ribosomal RNA", at positions 28 to 507 of the family's 1533-position model. The record is from RNAcentral.